GUGUGCGCUCCCCACGCCGCCUCCUCGAUCCCCUCUCUCCCCUGUCUCCCCGAUCCCCUUUCUCUCUCCCUUCUCCGGCGCCGCUUUCCUCGCCGCCGUCCCCUUCCGGUGCGCCGCUCCCCCUCCCCUACAUCCCGACCUCCACCUCCACCGCCCUGCCGCCUCCUCGGCGAAGGAGCACAGACCCUAGCGACCUUCCAAUUCGUCGCCGCCGCCCGACUCGCCGCGUCUCCACGCCGACAUCGAGGUAAGAGCUCCCCCCCUUCUCCGGCGAGACGUGUCUUCUAUGAUUCUCCCCCCAUUGUCGUCGCCGAUUGGCCGGCGAUGGAUUACUGGCUCGUCUUCUUCCGGGGCGCCGGGGACAACAUCUUCGACGCCAUCGCCGUCGCGGCGUCCGACCACCCCGCCGCGCUCAGGUCGAGGCGGGACGCCAUCGCCCAGCGCUUCUACACGGCGUACCGUUGGCGGUGCCUCCCACGGGGGGCACCGCCACCGAGGCACCGCCGCCGCAGCUGCUCCACCCCGAGGGCGCCGCUAGCGUCCCUAGCAUCUGUAGCUCCGACCGCGCCAAUGUCAUCGCCGACGACGGCGGCGUCCCUUGCCAUGAGGACCCCGUCGCCGCCGAGACCGAGCGCAUCAAGGCCGUCCUCCUCAACGACCAAGAAAAGUCGGAGGCGACGUUGCUCGAGCUGCUCCGGCGUCUGCAGCAGCUGGAGCUCACGGUGGACACCUUGACGGUUACUGAGAUUGGGAAAGCGGUGAGCAGCUACCGGAAGCACAACUCCAAGCAGAUUCGUCACCUUGUUCAAUUGCUCAUCGAAGGUUGGAAGCGCAUACUCGAUGAGUGGAUGAGCAGCUGAGACGCCAUUGUAGUGCAUUGGAUGGAAUUGUUACUUUGUGGCAAGUGCAGCCAAAAGGACCAGCCAUCUCCUUGCUUAGCACAACAGAUUGCUUUUCUCCUAAGCAUAGGUGGCCUGAAGAUGUAGCUUGGCAUCCAGAUGGUGAAUUAAUUUUUGCAAUGUACAGUGCUGAUAACGGCGACUCUCAAGUUUCACUGAUGAAUCAUAGCAUAUCAGGACAAAAGAAAGUUAGUUUUCUACCAGUGAAGCCUCAUACCAAGGAAAUUAUUAACAACAUUAAUUUUAUGCCAUGGUCUGAUGUAUGCUUUGUGACUGGUGGAAGUGACCAUGCUGUCAACAAAAAGAUGAUUCAUGGAACCACACAAAAGUGCACAAGGAUUUGCAUUCUUCUGCUGUCAUGGGUGUUGCUGGAUUACAGCAAAAAAAAAUGCAAUAUUAUCAGUUGGCAGUGACAAGAGGAUUAUACCAUUUGAUCUGGCAGCUAGAAGGGCAGGGUCCAAGAUUGUAUUACAGAUCCAUGCGAUUUCAACUUGUUAUGAUUGUAGUCUUAUAAGGUUGUUUUCCUUCUUUGUUCCAUACCUACUCUGCUAAAAAAAGAAGGCUAGCAUGACGGUCACAUUCUAAUAGUCGACGGCUUAGUUUUCUGUAGAGGACGUGGCAAAACGCAUCUGGCCAUCUGGUGUGGCUAACGGCUCGCUAUUCAUAACCUAAAUAAAUGAUUCUCUGAUCUUGCGUUUGCCUA
Non-coding RNA from Oryza sativa Japonica Group (Japanese rice), 1602 nucleotides. The record is from RefSeq and is a predicted model, not a curated record. Lineage: Eukaryota; Viridiplantae; Streptophyta; Magnoliopsida; Poales; Poaceae.